This 92-nucleotide transfer RNA is filed under the name Calothrix sp. NIES-4105. RNAcentral describes it as "tRNA-Ser". The record is from RNAcentral. RNAcentral also lists the same sequence under 1 other name. Lineage: Bacteria; Bacillati; Cyanobacteriota; Cyanophyceae; Nostocales; Calotrichaceae.
ACGAAUGUUACGAAGGUUGUUAAAGCUUCCUUGAAAGAACUUUUGGUCUGUAAGAACAGAGAUGCAAGCGGUGCCACUCUGUUCAUAUGCGC